Equus caballus (horse) is the source of this 575-nucleotide long non-coding RNA. RefSeq lists it as uncharacterized. Lineage: Eukaryota; Metazoa; Chordata; Mammalia; Perissodactyla; Equidae. The record is from RefSeq and is a predicted model, not a curated record.
GCGGCCGGGAGGCGGGAGCAGGGUGGGAGGGGCCGCGCGCGCGAGAGCGGGCGGGGGCGGGAGCCGGAGGCAGAGCUCGCGGGCCCGGCUCCCGGAGCGCGCGUCUGCCUCCCUCGCAAUGCGUGGGGUUCUCAGCCCCGCAGUCCGGCUUCUCUCCCGGUGCGCGCCCCGCGUGGGCCGCACACGCUCUCUUCCCGGGCUGCGGCCCCACGCUUCACCCGCUGGACCCCGGAGCGCCUCACCCUGCCGGCCCGCCUGGGGACGGGUCACCUGAGGGCUGGUGAACAGCCGCGCCAGCCCAGCUCGACCGCCACGGAGUCCUGAGGACCACGUCCGCAGCCCGCCUUCCUUUUCCUAUAACUUUCUUCAGUCAAUCCACAUGGACUUCUGAUAUUAUGUACCAGGCAGUGCUUAAUCCUCCCCUUUUGCUGUCGCAUUGCCAGCAGCACUCAGACCCUGUGAGGCAUCAGCUAAGAAGAUUUUCAAUUUUCCUUCUUCCUCUUGACAGAUCAUGAUUUUGAAUUUUUGAAAUUUGACCGUAAGUUACCUGUGAAGUAAAACAUAUGUUUAAUCAA